GGGUUUCACAUAUUUCAACAAUUAUGUGUUCUAAGGUUAACUUCCUCGCCUGUUCCAUUUUGACAUUGUAAUAGGCCAAUUCUGCCUGACCCACUAAACAAAUAAAACCCAAAUAAGAGUCCGAUAAACAAUCCAUUACAAAUAUCAGACCCAAAAAAAAUUUACAAGUGGCCCCUAUUUACAAUGGCCCAAACAACCCAAACCUAAAAAGCCCAAUAGGCCCAAAUCCCAACAGAAACCUUAAUCUAGCCCUAGUGCCGCACCCUAUCAUCGUCGCCGCUCUGCCAUCAACUGCUCUAUUGCUCCUCAACCACCCUUGCAGAGAAGAAC
Molecule: long non-coding RNA, 330 nt
Filed under: Gossypium raimondii (Peruvian cotton)
Lineage: Eukaryota; Viridiplantae; Streptophyta; Magnoliopsida; Malvales; Malvaceae
Description: long non-coding RNA (GRAI_LNC005631)
Source: RNAcentral